AGUCCUAACGUUGCAUUCUACAGGAUUUGGAAUUUCUAGAGAAUUGCCAUCCCAUAAACCAGAAAACAGCUUUGUUUUACAUUCCAUCUCUUAGAUUCCCAUUUUACUGCCUUUCAGAGGAACUUUAGAAAGUC
RNAcentral lists this non-coding RNA (134 nucleotides) under Felis catus (domestic cat). RNAcentral describes it as "ODC internal ribosome entry site (IRES)". It matches the Rfam family "ODC internal ribosome entry site (IRES)". Lineage: Eukaryota; Metazoa; Chordata; Mammalia; Carnivora; Felidae. The record is from Rfam by way of RNAcentral.